Molecule: transfer RNA, 85 nt
Filed under: Felis catus (domestic cat)
Lineage: Eukaryota; Metazoa; Chordata; Mammalia; Carnivora; Felidae
Rfam family: tRNA
About the family: Transfer RNA (tRNA) molecules are approximately 80 nucleotides in length.
Source: Rfam by way of RNAcentral
ACCUGGGUGGCUCAGUCGGUUGAGAGCCUGACUUUGGCUCAGGUCACGAUCUCAUGGUUCGUGGGUUCAAGCCCCACAUUGGGCU